UAAAGGCAGCUUUGCGGAUGAAGACUGUGAGCAGGAUGGAGCCUGUUCUCCUCAGCACUUUUAUCAGCUCCAAACACACACAGGAAUUCCGGUUUGGGAAUGACCGUCCCGAGUCCCUGCUUCCACAGGAAGAUGGAAUAAAAAGAACCUCUUCACCGACAAAGGCGUUUCAUUUCUCUUCAGUCGCUCAAAGGAACGCAAAGCCACCGGGCCCAUUCAACAUGUUUGACGGAAUCCACGUUUCGGUUUUACGAGCUUCGAAGAGCAACGGCUGUGGGGGUGAAGAUGCUAGCAGACACAGAUGAUGUGAAUCUCGGACUCUAAUGAGGAGUCUCUGCUUGAUUUUACAUUAAUGCCAGCUGAGGUCUGACCGAUGGCAGAAGAGGAGAACUGGCCUGCUUCACAGCUCAUUAUUACUUUUGGUACGCGCUAGGCCUGCCUCAAACUCGUACCGUGAGUAAUAAUGCACUGUGGCAGGCGAUAAGCUACCAGCACCAAGACUACAACCACAGAUUUGGAGUAAAGUAAAAAACAUGGAGAGAAACAACCACCAAAGUAUUUUAUACGUGAUUAGGCUGUAAUGCAUUGCUUUAAAUGAACGGAUGUAUGUAAAUUGACCGAUUUCUGCUGAAAUCCUGCUGAAAUCUGGAACGCACAGACUCUGUAGGUUUGAAUUCUGCUUCAGUUCCCGGUGAGUGCCAGCCGUAAGGUGGAGUAGUAAUGUUUUUCAGAAAGCUAUAGUAUAACUGUGUGAGCCUGGAGACGUUUAAUCAUGGGUUUAGAGAUUAUUUGAUUAGAACAAAAUGUGAAUAAAUGGUAAAUAAUAAACAGACAGGGUUUUUUUGGGUUUUUUGGGUUUCCAGGGUUUUUUUGGUUGUGUUGGACAGUUGUUUUUAAGCGGUAGGUUUGUUUGCCUUAACUUAAUGAUAGCUGCCAUUUAAAAUGUUGAAAAAACCUGUUUAAUAUUGUUUAUUGCAUAUGUUACUUUAUGUAAAUAAAUGUUUUCAG
This is a long non-coding RNA of Pygocentrus nattereri (red-bellied piranha), 1008 nucleotides long. RefSeq lists it as uncharacterized. NCBI's taxonomy places the organism in Eukaryota, Metazoa, Chordata, Actinopteri, Characiformes, Serrasalmidae. The transcript is spliced from 3 exons. The record is from RefSeq and is a predicted model, not a curated record.